GAGGGUAUAGCUCAGUGGAAAAACACUUGCUUAGCAUGUACAAGGUCCUGGGUUCAAUUCCCAGUGCCUCCA
This 72-nucleotide transfer RNA is filed under the name Camelus bactrianus (Bactrian camel). It matches the Rfam family "tRNA". From Rfam's summary of the family: Transfer RNA (tRNA) molecules are approximately 80 nucleotides in length. Their secondary structure includes four short double-helical elements and three loops (D, anti-codon, and T loops). RNAcentral also lists the same sequence under 2 other names. The record is from Rfam by way of RNAcentral. Lineage: Eukaryota; Metazoa; Chordata; Mammalia; Artiodactyla; Camelidae.